CAGUGGGGAAUCUUGGACAAUGGGCGCAAGCCUGAUCCAGCCAUGCCGCGUGAGUGAUGAAGGCCUUAGGGUCGUAAAGCUCUUUCGCCAGAGAUGAUAAUGACAGUAUCUGGUAAAGAAACCCCGGCUAACUCCGUGCCAGCAGCCGCGGUAAUACGGAGGGGGUUAGCGUUGUUCGGAAUUACUGGGCGUAAAGCGUACGUAGGCGGAUUAGUCAGUCAGAGGUGAAAUCCCAGGGCUCAACCCUGGAACUGCCUUUGAUACUGCUAGUCUUGAGUUCGAGAGAGGUGAGUGGAAUUCCAAGUGUAGAGGUGAAAUUCGUAGAUAUUUGGAGGAACACCAGUGGCGAAGGCGGCUCACUGGCUCGAUACUGACGCUGAGGUACGAAAGUGUGGGGAGCAAACAGGAUUAGAUACCCUGGUAGUCCACACCGUAAACGAUGAAUGCCAGUCGUCGGGCAGUAUACUGUUCGGUGACACACCUAACGGAUUAAGCAUUCCGCCUGGGGAGUACGGUCGCAAGAUUAAACCA
This 531-nucleotide ribosomal RNA is filed under the name uncultured Alphaproteobacteria bacterium. Its description in RNAcentral is "bacterial SSU rRNA". It matches the Rfam family "Bacterial small subunit ribosomal RNA", at positions 352 to 901 of the family's 1533-position model. The record is from RNAcentral. Lineage: Bacteria; Pseudomonadati; Pseudomonadota; Alphaproteobacteria.